GGCAAAUGGUACUCUUGCAACAAUUGGUUUUGAGGAAAGAGCUUAUUUCAAAUACAGCCUUUUCAAAAAUCUGAGCUUGAGCCUGCCCUUCUAGUUUGGUCACAUAUCAGACCUGAGCAUUGUCAUCCCUUUGCUGUUUCACAAUCAAGAGAUGUCAUAAUGAUAUAGCACAGACCUGUGGGGUGGUUUUAUUUUUUAUUUUUUCCUAGGGGGAAGAGAGAAACAAAUAUGAGCCAAUGCCUAUCAGGUUGAGUGGUUAUGAUGCUAAUGAAAACCUGGAACACUAUUGCAAACUGGAAUGUUUGGCAGAAGCAGGAAUAGUUCUGUGCUGUUUAUGAGGUAUAUAAAAAGAAGUCAGUGUUUUGGGGAGCCAGGAGCUAAGACUGAGCCUAAGUUUCACUGCCUCUGAAACUUCCAAGGAGAAGAGACUUUUAUAAUCCAAG
This 443-nucleotide long non-coding RNA is filed under the name Phasianus colchicus (ring-necked pheasant). Its description in RNAcentral is "lncRNA (ENSPCLG00000010660.1)". Lineage: Eukaryota; Metazoa; Chordata; Aves; Galliformes; Phasianidae. The record is from RNAcentral.